This 36191-nucleotide long non-coding RNA is filed under the name Triticum aestivum (bread wheat). Its description in RNAcentral is "long non-coding RNA (TAES_LNC025611)". Lineage: Eukaryota; Viridiplantae; Streptophyta; Magnoliopsida; Poales; Poaceae. The record is from RNAcentral.
GAAAUUAAUAGAUGGGAUGGUGGACAGCGGAAGGGAUAAUGAUGCAGCGGCGGCGUGACUAAUGUGAACAGAACUCGAAACUCUAAAGGAACUAGACACUAAGACCAGCAACUGACACGACGAUGCAACCGAUAAUUCAACUAUGCAAGCAACGAAUAGAAAAAUUGCAAAGGCUCAGACUGGCUUGGAUAAAGGAUGAACAGAUCUAACUUUUUUUGUGGCUUUUUCAUGAACUAUAGGUAUGAAUGACAGAUGCGAUCUAAACUAUGAAAAACUGUAAAAUCUCACCGAGCAACCUGAAAACUGAUACCACUUGAUAGAGGCGGGGUGUCCCGAUCUUUCGAUGAGAUGAUAACUAUCGAUUUGGUGGAGACGACUUUGACAAUCCGACUACAAACAUGCACGGCGUUGCGCCUUAGCAAUCGCUAAACCAACUCCAAGAGGUUACUGACCACGCCGGAGCACAAUCAACCUGACCACGAAGGUCUAUUCCUGCAAGCAAUCGAAGAACGAGCAAGAAUAUGAUAAAGCAAUCUGAAUAUUGCGAAUAUAUAUGAAGUAUUGAUAAUGGUGGGGAUCCGUAAGCGGUCUUGGUCUGGUCGUUGGACACAAACGAAGUACACGAAGUUGCAAUGGCUAACUUUUAACUAAACAAAUCCCCAGCCAAAAAGCUACUAGAUGGAUCUACUUAUAUAGGAGCAAGGGGUGGCGGCCAAGGAGGUGGGAGGACGUCCCAAGGCAGCCUAAAACUAAAUCUAGGUCGUACAAGGCCAAUGGGCCCAAGUGGAGGUGAUGUAACACCUUUGGACUUGUAGUUUGACUCGGAUUCUGCUGCAGCAUCAGAUUGUUUCGUCCACAACUCAACGCUCCGGACGAAUUUGAAGGUGAUUCCAAUUGGGUUGGAAAGUGCACGAAAUCUAGUUUCCAACAAAAAAAGAAUCACCCAAUUUGGAGUCCGUAUGAAAAACUUGUGUGUGUUUUGAGUCAGGUGUGUCUGUGCAGUCCGAAUCUGAAUCCAGAACGUGAGAGACUUGGACUCUAUCUUCUCUUGGGCCAAAAGUGACGUGAGAGAACUUUUUGGACAGCAAAUAAACAUCUCUUUCUUCCUUAUCUUCAUAUGUGGAUUGUACAAAUGUCCCAUACACCUGCAAUUAGACAAAACACAAAAGUGUGUGAAGUAUUUUUGUUCUGGAUAACAUAAAUAGAUUAUUGAAUAGUUUGCACUAGAAAUCACCUGACAAAUAUGCAUAUAUGCAAUAUUUUUUGUCAUAUCCAAGGUAGUCAUGUCCUCAUCAAUCGCGAAAUUACACGCUUUGCCGACUUGGUGUCCAUAGUACGAAAGUACUGUGCGAUGGAAAGCGCCUGGAAAACCGAAAUAAAAUUUUGGGAUAAUCCGACCCUGAAUACAAGCCCAGUCCGAAAUAAAAGGGUGCACUAUCACAAUACACCUGGGUUAACUACCAAAAAGCAAAAGCCCUCUACGGGGCAAGGAACCGUACUGGAGGGAUGGCUCAACGGACCAUGCAAAAUUCAUAGUACAGCGGAUGCGACACCAACGUACAGCCUUAGAGCAUGCUGGAUAUUCCGGCAGGUGGCCAAAAGUGGUGAGGAUCUACUCCUCCCAAAAACCACAGAGCACCACCCCGAGGACAACAAUACGGUCUUAACGGUCUUUGAGACCUUCACGUCAAAUAAUAGACGGAAGCGAACACUUCGCAGCACAUCCGAAAUCUGCCACAUAGCAGAAACAAAUCCUUGGAACGACACGGCUAUUACCUUCAAUGCCAGUGACGAACCUAAAUUCCGAACAGCCCGAGUACAAGCCGCACUGGUCCUCAGUCCAAUCGUGGACGGCUUUCGACUCACCAAGGUACUCAUGGACGGCGGCAGCGGAUUAAACCUCAUUUAUGAGGAAACUAUUCAAAAGAUGGAAAUAGACUGGAGCCGCAUUAAGCAAAGCAGCACAACUUUAGAGGAAUCAUCCCCAGUCAGGAAGCGCGCUGCGUUGGAAAAAUCACACUAGAUGUGGUGUUUGGCACGCCGGAUAAUUACAGGUCCGAAGAAAUUACAUUCCAAGUGGCCCCGUUCAGCAGCGGAUACCACGCUCUAUUAGGGCGGGAGGCGUUUACAAUCUUCCAAGCCAUACCCCAUUACGGGUACAUGAAGCUCAAAAUGCCUGGGCCCAACGGAAUCAUCACUCUUGUUAGUGAUCCGGACAUAGCACUCGGCGCCGAAAAUAAGACAGCUGCACUGGCCCUUGAGGCACUAUCCGAAGUCCUAGCGGCCGAAGAACUAACUGCGCUGCGCUCCACGGUGAACAAGGAUGACGUGAUACUCGAUAAAAGAUCCAAGUCCACCUCCUUUAAACUGGUGGACGAAAUAGUCAAAUUCCAAGUCCAUCCAACGGACCCUACAAAAACGGCUUCCAUCGGGACACAAUUAAACCCUGAUGUCGACACCGCACUGCGAGAAUUCCUACGCGAGAACUGGGACAUUUUUGCCUGGCACCCUUCAAACAUGCCAGGAAUCCCACGCAGGCUGGCCGAACACAGCCUGAAUAUCCUAAAAGGAUUCAAGCCAGUCAAACAGGCUCUUUGACGUUUCUCCGAGCCUAAAAGACAAGCCAUGGGAGAGGAACUAGCCAAGCUAUUGGAGCCGGAUUCAUCAGAGAUAUAAAACAUCCUGACUGACUAGCAAACCUGGUGAUGGUACCAAAGAAGGACAAAUCCUGGCGCUUGUGCGUCGAUUUUAAGGACCUCAAUAAGGCCUGCCCAAAGGAUCCCUUCCCCCUCCCCCGCAUCGAUCAAAUCAUCGAUGCUACCGCAGGACAUGACUCGUUGUGUUUCCUCAACGCAUACUCCGGCUACCAUAAAAUCAAAAUGGCAGAGCCAGACCAAGCCGCAACGGUAUUCAUCACACCAUACGGCCCAUUCUGCUUCAACACAAUGCCCUUCGGGCUAAAAAACGUCGGUGCAACAUAUCAGCGCAUGAUUCAGACAUGCCUGGCAAACCAGAUCGGCAAAACAGUGGAGGCAUACGUGGAUGACGUGGUCGUUAAAACCAAGCAUGUCGAAACUCUAGUAGAUGACUUGAGGCUCACAUUCGACAACCUCCGAACAUAUGACAUCAAGCUCAAUCCGGAAAAAUGCGUUUUUGGCGUACCAGCAGAAAAGCUCCUGGGAUUCAUUGCCUCUAGUAGAGGUAUUGAAGCCAAUCCGGCCAAAAUUCGAGCGUUAUCACAGUUGGCUACCCCAACAGACCUUAAACAAACACAAAAAUUAACUGGAUGUGAUGAGGACAUCAAUACCAUUGUUACACCCACAGCCCCUACUGCUACAUAUACGGGACCAAUUACUAGAGCUCGCGCACGCCAAUUAAAUUAUCAGGUACUUUCGUUUCUUGGUAAUGAUUCUAAUGUUCAUGAGAAUAUGAUGCUGCCUAAAUUGGAUACAUUUGUUUUGCUUACAAAUGAAGGGCCUAGCUUGGAGAAGGAUGAACAUUGGAGCAAGAACAAGCAUGGAGAUGAUGCCAUGCGCAAGGGGAACAAGAACGGAGUUACAAGUGAUGAUUUCAGGACUUUGAAGCCACCAUAAUGGGUGCAUGAAGCCUUGGACGAAAUAUACAAGAUGCCACUUCAUAAAUUUCGUCCCGAGGCUAUUAUAGGUGCUGCGUCACCUUUUUAUUGGGCCAGGCCCAUGUAAUUUCGAAAUACAUAAGUAUAGACUAUUUUUAGAGUCCGUAUGUGUGGGGAAACAAGAGAUAGGGUUGAUUUCGGACCCCUCCACCAAGGGCCACGAAAUUCCCCUCUCUUCCUCCAUAUAUACAACCCUUAGGGCACCGUUUAGAUUUUGGGUUUUUGUUUAGAUUAAAAGUUCGCCAUAGCUGCAACUUCGCGUACUUCGUUUGUGUUCAACGACCAGACAAAGGCGUCACAGAACCCCACCUUGAUCAAUAAAGCUUUCAUCUUAUAUUCGCAAUAUCCAGAUUGCAAUCUUAGUUUCUUGCUUGUUCUUCGUUUGCUCGCAGGAAACAGACCCUCGUGGUCAGGUUGAUCGUGCUCCGGCGUGGUCAAUAACCUCUCGGAGUUGGUUUAGCGAUUGCUAAGGCGCGACGUCCUCGCACGUUCGUAGUCGGAUCGUCAAAGUCGACUGCCACCAAAGCGAUAUCCAUCAUCUCAUCGAAAGACGGGACACCUUUGCCUUUAUCAGGAUGCGUGGCGGCUCUAAGCCGCUUUAUCUCCCGCCUGGGAGAAAAGGCAUUACCCCUUUAUCGCCUCCUCUGGUGCACCGAACACUUCGAGAGGACGGACGCCUCCACGGCCGGACUCAAUGAAAUAAAGGCCAUAUUAGCAACAAACCCAGUCCUGGCCGCGCCAAACAUUGGCGAACCAAUGCUAUUAUACAUUGCGGCAACUCAUCAAGUAGUAAGCGCAGUGCUUGUCAUUGAGCGAGAAGUGGACGGACACAAAUUUCCCCUUCAAAAGCCGGUUUACUACGUGUCCACUGUCCUUACUCCAUGCAAAUCAUGGUACCUGCAUUAUCAAAAGAUAGUGUACGCGAUAUUCAUGGCAUCCCGGAAGCUGCGACACUACUUUCAAGAGUGUUUGAUAACGGUGGCCUCGGAAGUACCACUUAACGAUAUUAUAAACAACCGCGACGCGACGGGCCGGAUUGCCAAAUGGGCCAUUGAGCACCUCCCGUUCCACAUAACUUACAAGCCACGAUGAGCUAUUAAAUCGCAAGUUUUGGCUGACUUCGUCACUGAAUGGACGGAAGCCGAACUCCCCAAAGAGUACGACACAUAUUCAAACUGGAUCAUGCACUUCGACGGCUCCAAAAUGUUGGCUGGUCUGGGGGCUGGCGUCGUUUUGACAUCCCCAACAGGAGACACCAUUCAAUACGUAUUACAGAUAAUGUAUACGGACUCCAACAACGCAGCCGAAUAUGAGGCCCUUCUACAUGGUCUCCGGAUGGCAGUAUCCAUGGGCAUUCAACGCCUAGAGGUGCGCGGGGAUUCAAACCUCGCGAUAUCCCAAAUAAAUGGAGACUUUGAUGCCAAGGAUCCAAAAAUGGCCGCUUAACGCAAUGCCAUCCUAAAAAUGUCAGCUUGGUUCGAAGGGCUCAAAUUUCACCAUGUGGCCCGGGAAAACAAUCAGGCGGCGGAUAUCCUCGCCCGCAUUGGCGCCAAACGCAACGCGGUCCCUCCCAACAUUUUUUUGGAAAGGCUUUUCAAGCCAUCCGUAUCAUGGGAAGGGGACACCGGUAACAACAGUCCAGACCUGGCCAAAAUACCCGAUACCGAACUCUCUGACACAAUCGGAGGCUCUGCCACCGAAAUAACACAAUCAGCCCACGAAAUAAUGGCCAUUAUUGCCCCGUGGACAGAACCAUUUCUGGCCUACUUAACUAGACAGGAACUCCCGGAGGACCAAAAUGAGGCACGCUGCAUAGUGUGGCGAUCAAAGGCCUACAGGGUCCACGAGGGAGAAUUGUACAAAAAAAGCACUACCGGAGUCCUUCAACGGUGCAUCUCCGAAGAGGAAGGAUGGAACCUUUUGGCAGAAAUUCAUGCCGGACUCGGCGGUCAUCACGCUGCAGCCCGAGCUCUUGUGAGCAAGGCCUUCUGUACAUGAUUCUAUUGGCCAACGGCCCGGGCAGACGCACAGGACUUAGUCCAGCGUUGCGCCGGUUGCCAGCUCUUUGCAAAUCAAAGCCAUAUGCCACCCACCGCCCUCCGAACAAUCCCCAUUACAUGGCCCUUUGCGGUCUGGGGGCUUGACAUGGAUGGACCCCUUAAAGGUGGAACCCACAAGAAAAAAUACUUAUUGGUCAUGGUGGAUAAAUUCACCAAAUGGAUAGAGGCCAAACCGGUUAAAACAGCCGAAUCCGGACUGGUUAUAGAUUUCAUAUCUGGGGUUGUGCAUCGCUAUGGCGUCCCCCACAGCAUCAUCACCGACAACGGCACGAACUUCACAGCCGACGAGGUAAAACUCUGGUGCAGCAAAAUGGGCAUCAAGCUCGAUUAUGCUUCAGUUUACCACCCACAAACCAACGGUCAAGUAGAACGAGCAAACGGUCUUAUAAUGAGCGGCAUUAAACCCAGACUAGUGCGAUCCUUAACAGAGUCUGACACGCACUAGGUAGAGGAGCUCGACUCCGUACUCUAGGGGCUGCGGACCAUGCCGAAUCGUAGUACUAGAUACACACCAUUUUUCAUGGUGUACGGCGCAGAGGUAGUCUUGCCCUGUGAAAUAAUUCAUGACUCACCUCGAGUGUGCAUGUACGAAGAAAGAGAAGCCGAGCUCGAUCGGCAGGACAGUCUAGACACCUUGGAGGAAGAGCGCAACGUAGCCAAAGCCCGUUCCGCAUUUUACCAGCAAUAGGCUCGCAGAUACCAAAACAGAGAAGUACGAGCCAAAACUUAUAACAUUGGCGAACUAGUUCUCCGGCUGCCGGAUAAGAAAAAGAACAAGCUAGAGCCCAAAUGGGAAGGUCCCUUCAUCAUCGAUCAAGUUCUGACCGGCGGAGCGUACCGACUGCGGGAUGCAUCGACUAGUCUACUCGAGUCGAACCCAUGGAACGCAGCCAGGCUCUGAAGAUUCUACGCCUAGCACCGGACUUUAUGUUAGUCCCCUUCCUUUGUCCAUUUUCUACAUAUGCGUCUUCUGUCUUGUUUCCCUUUCUUUCUUUUAUUCCUCUAGGCCUUCAAAGGUCACCUUGUGCCUCACUUGUACAUAACAGAUGUGCUAGCCGCACUCUCUACACCUGGGGGCUUCUUUCACAGAAGCUUAAAUUAUUUACCUAGGCGUCACGCCCAACACAUGCGUUAUACUUCCGCAUGUACCUUUUUUCACCAUUAUAUGCAUCGAUAUGACUUAAGUUUUGGCCAAGCUGGGUUGCCUAGCUCUUGUAUUUAUGCCCUAUGUUCCCGUUAAUUCGGCUAGGGCAUAAGGGGAGCACCUCUGCGAUUGUUACCGCCGGGUCAGCCGGACGUGUACCUCAGACUGGGUGAAGCCAAAAGCUAGCGUUCUUAAGAGAAUAUUCGGUCGGUGAAAAAAAGAUGACUUUUAUUUAUUAUCAAUAUCUGCCCCCAGAUGUUUUUUCUGCGCCUCUUGUCGCAGGCCGGACAUGGUGAUAGAGGCCAAGGUGUCCUGUCUUUCGAUGAGAUGAUGGAUAUCGCUUUGGUGGAAGUCGACUUUGACGAUCUGACUACGAACGUGCGAGGACGUCGCGCCUUAGCAAUCGCUAAACCAACUCCGAGAGGUUAUUGACCACGCCGGAGCAUGAUCAACCUGACCACGAGGGUCUGUUUCCUACGAGGAAACGAAGAAAAAGCAAGAAACUAAGAUUGCAAUCUGGAUAUUGCGAAUAUAAGAUGAAAGCUUUAUUGAUCAAGGUGGGGUUCUGUGUCGCCUUUGUCUGGUCGUUGAACACAAACGAAGUACGCGAAGUUGCAGCUAUGGUGAACUUUUAAUCUAAACAAAACCCCAAAGUCUAAACGGUGCCCUAAGGGCUGUAUAUAUGGAGGAAGAGAGGGGGAAUUUCGUGGCCCUUGGUGGAGGGGUCCGAAAUCAACCCUAUCUCUUGUUUCCCCACACAUACGGACUCUAAAAAUAGCCUAUACUUAUGUAUUUCGAAAUUACAUGGGCCUGGCCCAAUAAAAAGGUGACGCAGCACCUAUAAUAGCCUCGGGACGAAAUUUAUGAAGUGGCAUCUUGUAUAUUUCGUCCAUGGCUUCAUGCACCCAUUAUGGUGGCUUCAAAGUCCUGAAAUCAUCACUUGUAACUCCGUUCUUGUUCCCCUUGCGCAUGGCAUCAUCUCCAUGCUUGUUCUUGCUCCAAUGUUCAUCCUUCUCCAAGCUAGGCCCUUCAUUUGUAAGCAAAACAAAUGUAUCCAAUUUAGGCAGCAUCAUAUUCUCAUGAACAUUAGAAUCAUUAUCAAGAAACGGAAGUACCUGAUAAUUUAAUUGGCGUGCGCGAGCUCUAGUAAUUGGUCCCGUAUAUGUAGCAGUAGGGGCUGUGGGUGUAACAAUGGUAUUGAUGUCCUCAUCAUCCUCCCCUUCUUGAAAUGAAGUCAUCCUCGACGGAAACUCAUCUUCCUCACCCAAAUAAGGCUUCAAAUCUGCAAUGUUAAAAGUGGGACUAACCCCAAAAUCUGCAGGCAGCUCAAGUUUAUACGCAUUAUCAUUUAUUUUCUCUAACACCUUAAAGGGACCAUCAGCACGUGGCAUUAGCUUUGAUUUGCGCAAAUCAGGAAAUCUAUCCUUACGCAAAUGUAACCAAACAAGAUCUCCAGGUGCAAACACAACAUGUUUUCUACCCUUAUCUCCAGCAAGUUUAUAUUUAGCAUUCAUACGCUCAAUGUUUUCCUUAGUUAACUCAUGCAUUUUUAAAAUCAAUUCAGCACGUUGUUUAGCAUCAAAAUUAACCUUCUCCGAAGAUGGAAGAGGCAACAAAUCAAUAGGUGCACGAGGUAGGAAACCAUACACAACUUCAAAAGGGCACAUCUUAGUAGUAGAAUGCAAUGAACGAUUAUAAGCAAAUUCAAUAUGAGGCAAGCAUUCCUCCCACAUUUUCUUAUUAUUCUUCAAAACAGCCCUAAGCAUAGUAGACAACCUUCUAUUGACUACUUCAGUUUGUCCAUCAGUUUGGGGGUGACAAGUAGUACUAAAAAGCAGUUUAGUCCCCAACUUAGCCCAUAAACAUCUCCAAAAGUGGCUAAGAAAUUUAGUAUCACGAUCUGAAACAAUAGUAUUUGGCACACCAUGCAAGCGAAUAAUUUCACGAAAGAACAAAUCAGCAACAUUAACAGCAUCAUCGCUUUUAUGACAUGGUAUAAAGUGUGCCAUUUUCGAGAAUCUAUCCACGACAACAAAUAUGCUAUCCCUCCCCUUCUUUGUUCGAGGUAAACCUAAAACAAAGUCCAUAGAUAUAUCCUCCCAAGGAACACUAGGUACAGGCAAAGGCAUAUAUAAACCAUGAGGAUUGAGUCGUGACAGCUUUUUGACAUGUAGUGCAUCGAGCAAUAAAAUGCUCAACAUCCCGUCUCAUCUUUGGCCAAAAGAAAUGUGUAGCAAGUACGUCCUCCGUCUUCUUCACGCCAAAGUGUCCCAUUAAUCCUCCUCCAUGCGCCUCCUGCAACAACAAAAGACGAACGGAGCUAGCUGGAAUGCAUAGCUUGUUAGCACGAAACACAAAUCCAUCGUUAACGACAAACUUGUUCCACAUUCUUCCUUCUUUACAAUUCUGCAUUACAUCUUUAAAAUCAGCAUCAUGCACAUAUUGAUCUUUGAUGGUCUCCAAACCAAAUAUUUUGAAGUCAAGUUGUGAAAGCAUAGUAUAGCGACGAGACAAUGCAUCAGCAAUAACAUUUUCUUUUCCCUUCUUGUGUUUAAUGACAUAAGGGAAAGUCUCAAUGAAUUCAACCCAUUUAGCAUGUCUACGAUUCAGUUUAGCUUGACUUUUAAUAUGUUUCAAAGAUUCAUGAUCAGAAUGAAUAACAAAUUCUUUGGGCCAUAAAUAAUGUUGCCAUGUUUCUAAAGUCCGAACAAGAGCAUAUAAUUCUUUAUCAUAAGUAGAAUAAUUCAGACUAGGCCCACUCAAUUUUUCAGAAAAGUAUGCAACAGGUUUGCCAUCUUGUAAUAACACACCUCCUAAUCCAAUUCCACUAGCAUCACAUUCAAGCUCAAAAGUCUUAUUAAAAUCAGGAAGUUGGAGUAAAGGAGCAUGUGUCAACGUAUCUUUCAAUACCGUGAAGGCUUCUUCCUGUGCGGUACCCCAAACAAAAGGCACAUCCUUCUUUGUAAGCUCGUUGAGAGGUGCAGCAAUGGUGCUGAAAUCUCUCACAAAACGCCUAUAGAAUCCAGCGAGGCCAAGAAAACUCCUCACUUGUGUGACCGUUUUGGGCUGCGGCCAACUCUCAAUAGCUUCAAUCUUGGCUUUGUCAACUUCAAUUCCCUGUGGAGUAACAACAUAGCCAAGAAUAGAUACUCGGUCGGUGCAAAAAGUGCACUUCCCAAGGUUACCAAACAAACGUGCAUCACAUAGAGCAAUAAAAACAGCACGUAAAUGUUCCAAAUGUUCUUCCAAAGAUCUGCUAUAAAUCAGUAUGUCAUCAAAGUAAACUACCACAAAUCGUCCAAUGAAAGCACGUAAAACUUCGUUCAUUAAUCUCAUGAAAGUACUAGGUGCAUUAGUUAACCCAAAAGGCAUGACUAACCACUCAUAUAAUCCAAACUUAGUUUUAAAUGCUGUUUUCCAUUCAUCUCCCAAUUUCAUACGAAUUUGAUGGUAGCCACUACGCAAAUCAACUUUGGAGAAUAUUGUAGAGCCACUCAAUUCAUCAAGCAUAUCAUCUAGCCUAGGAAUAGGAUGACGAUAACGAAUAUUAAUAUUAUUAAUGCCUCUACAAUCAACACACAUACGUGAUGUACCAUCCUUUUUCGGCACUAGAAUAAUAGGAACAGCACAAGGACUAAGGGAUUCGCGUAUAUAACCUUUGUCGAGAAGCUCUUGUACUUGGCGCAUAAUCUCCUUCGUCUCCUCUGGAUUGGUACGGUAUGGUGCACGGUUUGGCAGUGAAGCACCGGGAAUUAAGUCAAUCUGAUGCUCAAUCCCUCGAAUAGGCGGUAAUCCCGGUGGCACGUCUUGUGGAAAGACGUCAGCGAACUCCUGCAAAAUGUUAGUGACAGCAGGCAAAUGUAACCAAACAAGAUCUCCAGGUGCAAACACAACAUGUUUUCUACCCUUAUCUCCAGCAAGUUUAUAUUUAGCAUUCAUGCGCUCAAUGUUUUCCUUAGUUAACUCAUGCAUUUUUAAAAUCAAUUCAGCACGUUGUUUAGCAUCAAAAUUAACCUUCUCCGAAGAUGGAAGAGGCAACAAAUCAAUAGGUGCACGAGGUAGGAAACCAUACACAACUUCAAAAGGGCACAUCUUAGUAGUAGAAUGCAAUGAACGAUUAUAAGCAAAUUCAAUAUGAGGCAAGCAUUCCUCCCACAUUUUCUUAUUAUUCUUCAAAACAGCCCUAAGCAUAGUAGACAACGUUCUAUUGACUACUUCAGUUUGUCCAUCAGUUUGGGGGUGACAAGUAGUACUAAAAAGCAGUUUAGUCCCCAACUUAGCCCAAAAACAUCUCCAAAAGUGGCUAAGAAAUUUAGUAUCACGAUCUGAAACAAUAGUAUUUGGCACACCAUGCAAGCGAAUAAUUUCACGAAAGAACAAAUCAGCAACAUUAACAGCAUCAUCGCUUUUAUGACAUGGUAUAAAGUGUGCCAUUUUCGAGAAUCUAUCCACGACAACAAAUAUGCUAUCCCUCCCCUUCUUUGUUCGAGGUAAACCUAAAACAAAGUCCAUAGAUAUAUCCUCCCAAGGAACACUAGGUACAGGCAAAGGCAUAUAUAAACCAUGAGGAUUGAGUCGUGACUUAGCUUUUUGACAUGUAGUGCAGCGAGCAAUAAAACGCUCAACAUCCCGUCUCAUCUUUGGCCAAAAGAAAUGUGUAGCAAGUACGUCCUCCGUCUUCCUCACGCCAAAGUGUCCCAUUAAUCCUCCUCCAUGCGCCUCCUACAACAACAAAAGACGAACGGAGCUAGCUGGAAUGCAUAGCUUGUUAGCACGAAACACAAAUCCAUCAUUAACGACGAACUUGUUCCACAUUCUUCCUUCUUUACAAUUCUGCAUUACAUCUUUAAAAUCAGCAUCAUGCACAUAUUGAUCUUUGAUGGUCUCCAAACCAAAUAUUUUGAAGUCAAGUUGUGAAAGCAUAGUAUAGCGGCGAGACAAUGCAUCAGCAAUAACAUUUUCUUUUCCCUUCUUGUGUUUAAUGACAUAAGGAAAAGUCUCAAUGAAUUCAACCCAUUUAGCAUGUCUACGAUUCAGUUUAGCUUGACUUUUAAUAUGUUUCAAAGAUUCAUGAUCAGAAUGUAUAACAAAUUCUUUGGGCCAUAAAUAAUGUUGCCAUGUUUCUAAAGUCCGAACAAGAGCAUAUAAUUCUUUAUCAUAAGUAGAAUAAUUCAGACUAGGCCCACUCAAUUUUUCAGAAAAGUAUGCAACAGGUUUGCCAUCUUGUAAUAACACACCUGAUGAGGACAUCAAUACCAUUGUUACACCUCCUAAUCCAAUUCCACUAGCAUCACAUUCAAGCUCAAAAGUCUUAUUAAAAUCAGAAAGUUGGAGUAAAGGAGCAUGUGUCAACUUAUCUUUCAACACCGAGAAGGCUUCUUCCUGUGCGGUACCCCAAAGAAAAGGCACUUCUUUCUUUGUAAGCUCAUUGAGAGGUGCAGCAAUGGUGCUGAAAUCUCUCACAAAACGCCUAUAGAAUCCAGCGAGGCCAAGAAAACUCCUCACUUGUGUGACCGUUUUGGGUUGCGGCCAACUCUCAAUAGCUUCAAUCUUGGCUUUAUCAACUUCAAUUCCCUGUGGAGUAACAACAUAGCCAAGAAAAGAUACUCGGUCGGUGCAAAAGGUGCACUUCCCAAGGUUACCAAACAAACGUGCAUCACGUAGAGCAAUAAAAACAGCACGUAAAUGUUCCAAAUGUUCUUCCAAAGAUCUGCUAUAAAUCACUAUGUCAUCAAAGUAAACUACCACAAAUCGUCCAAUGAAAGCACGUAAAACUUCGUUCAUUAAUCUCAUGAAAGUACUAGGUGCAUUAGUUAACCCAAAAGGCAUGACUAACCACUCAUAUAAUCCAAACUUAGUUUUGAAUGUUGUUUUCCAUUCAUCUCCCAAUUUCAUACGAAUUUGAUGGUAUCCACUACGCAAAUCAACUUUGGAGAAUAUUGUAGAGCCACUCAAUUCAUCAAGCAUAUCAUCUAGCCUAGGAAUAGGAUGACAAUAACGAAUAGUAAUAUUAUUAAUGCCUCUACAAUCAACACACAUACGUGAUGUACCAUCCUUUUUCGGCACUAGAAUAAUAGGAACAACACAAGGACUAAGGGAUUCGCGUAUAUAACCUUUGUCGAGAAGCUCUUGUACUUGACGCAUAAUCUCCUUCGUCUCCUCUGGAUUGGUACGGUAUGGUGCACGGUUUGGCAGUGAAGCACCGGGAAUUAAGUCAAUCUGAUGCUCAAUCCCUCGAAUAGGCGGUAAUCCCGGUGGCACGUCUUGUGGAAAGACGUCAGCGAACUCCUGCAAAAUGUUAGUGACAGCAGGAGGCAAAGAGGAAGGCACGUCCUCGAAUGAAAAUAAUGCCUCUUUGAACACAAAAGCAUAGCAAACAGAUUUGCUGAAAUCUAGCUCAUCAAUAUCAGAUUUGGUGGCAAAUAAACAUGCACUUUUCAAUUUAAUUUCAGAAGCAACACUAGAUGGUUUAUUAUUAGGCUUCAUUUGUUGCUCAAAUUCUUUUGCCACAAUCUGAUUUUCACUCUUAUUCGUCUCCUGUUUUGCUUUAUUAGCUCUAUUAAUAUCAUCUUUCAAAAUGGAAUCAGGAGUCAUAGGAAGCAAAGUAAUAUUUUUAUCCUUAUGAACAAGAGUAUAGUGAUUGUUUCUACCAUGGUGUACAGAAUUUUUAUCAAAUUGCCAUGGUCUACCAAGUAAUAAGGAACAUGCUUGCAUAGGUGAUAGAGGCAAAGGUGUCUCGUCUUUCGAUGAGAUGGUGGAUUUCGCUUUGGUGGAAGUCGACUUUGACGAUCCGACUACGAACGUGCGAGGACGUCGCGCCUUAGCAAUCGCUAAACCAACUCCGAGAGGUUAUUGACCACGCCGGAGCACGAUCAACCUGACCACGAAGGUCUGUUUCCUGCGAGCAAACGAAGAACAAGCAAGAAACUAAGAUUGCAAUCUGGAUAUUGCGAAUAUAAGAUGAAAACUUUAUUGAUCAAGGUGGGGUUCUGUGACGCCUUUGUCUGGUCGUUGAACACAAACGAAGUACGCGAAGUUGCAGCUAUGGCGAACUUUUAAUCUAAACAAAACCCAAAGUCUAAACGAUGCCCUAAGGGCUGUAUAUAUGGAGGAAGAGGGGGGAAUUUCGUGGCCCUUGGUGGAGGGGUCCGAAAUCAAUCCUAUCUCUUGUUUCCCCACACAUACGGACUCUAGAAAUAGCCUAUACUUAUGUAUUUCGAAAUUACAUGGGCCUGGCCCAAUAAUAAGGUGACGCAACACCUAAAAUAGCCUCGGGACGAAAUUUAUGAAGUGGCAUCUUGUAUAUUUCGUCCAAGGCUUCAUGCACCCAUUAUGGUGGCUUCAAAGUCCUGAAAUCAUCACUUGUAACUCCGUUCUUGUUCCCCUUGCGCAUGCCAUCAUCUCCAUGCUUGUUCUUGCUCCAAUGUUCAUCCUUCUCCAAGCUAGGCCCUUCAUUUGUAAGCAAAACAAAUGUAUCCAAUUUAGGCAGCAUCAUAUUCUCAUGAACAUUAGAAUCAUUACCAAGAAACGAAAGUACCUGGUAAUUUAGUUGGCGUGCACGAGCUCUAGUAAUUGGUCCAGUAUGUAUAGCAGCAGGGGCUGUGGGUGUAACAAUUGUAUUGAUGUCCUCAUCAUCCUCCCCUUCUUGAAAUGAAGUCGUCCUCGACGGAAGUCCAUCUUCCUCAUCCAAAUAAGGCUUCGAAUCUGCAAUGUUAAAAGUGGGACUAACCCCAAAAUCUGCAGGCAGCUCAAGUUUAUAUGCAUUAUCAUUUAUUUUCUCUAACACCUUAAAGGGACCAUCAGCACGUGGCAUUAGCUUUGAUUUGCGCAAAUCAGGAAAUCUAUCCUUACGCAAAUGUAACCAAACAAGAUCUCCAGGUGCAAACACAACAUGUUUUCUACCCUUAUCUCCAGCAAGUUUAUAUUUAGCAUUCAUACGCUCAAUGUUUUCCUUAGUUAACUCAUGCAUUUUUAAAAUCAAUUCAGCACGUUGUUUAGCAUCAAAAUUAACCUUCUCCGAAGAUGGAAGAGGCAACAAAUCAAUAGGUGCACGAGGUAGGAAACCAUACACAACUUCAAAAGGGCACAUCUUAGUAGUAGAAUGCAAUGAACGAUUAUAAGCAAAUUCAAUAUGAGGCAAGCAUUCCUCCCACAUUUUCUAUUGACUACUUCAGUUUGUCCAUCAGUUUGGGGGUGACAAGUAGUACUAAAAAGCAGUUUAGUCCCCAACUUAGCCCAUAAACAUCUCCAAAAGUGGCUAAGAAAUUUAGUAUCACGAUCUGAAACAAUAGUAUUUGGCACACCAUGCAAGCGAAUAAUUUCACGAAAGAACAAAUCAGCAACAUUAACAGCAUCAUCGCUUUUAUGACAUGGUAUAAAGUGUGCCAUUUUCGAGAAUCUAUCCACGACAACAAAUAUGCUAUCCCUCCCCUUCUUUGUUCGAGGUAAACCUAAAACAAAGUCCAUAGAUAUAUCCUCCCAAGGAACACUAGGUACAGGCAAAGGCAUAUAUAAACCAUGAGGAUUGAGUCGUGACUUAGCUUUUUGACAUGUAGUGCAUCGAGCAAUAAAACGCUCAACAUCCCGUCUCAUCUUUGGCCAAAAGAAAUGUGUAGCAAGUACGUCCUCCGUCUUCUUCAGGCCAAAAUGUCCCAUUAAUCCUCCUCCAUGCGCUUCCUGCAACAACAAAAGACGAACGGAGCUAGCUGGAAUGCAUAGCUUGUUAGCACGAAACACAAAUCCAUCGUUAACGACAAACUUGUUCCACAUUCUUCCUUCUUUACAAUUCUGCAUUACAUCUUUAAAAUCAGCAUCAUGCACAUAUUGAUCUUUGAUGGUCUCCAAACCAAAUAUUUUGAAGUCAAGUUGUGAAAGCAUAGUAUAGCGACGAGACAAUGCAUCAGCAAUAACAUUUUCUUUUCCCUUCUUGUGUUUAAUGACAUAAGGGAAAGUCUCAAUGAAUUCAACCCAUUUAGCAUGUCUACGAUUCAGUUUAGCUUGACUUUUAAUAUGUUUCAAAGAUUCAUGAUCAGAAUGUAUAACAAAUUCUUUGGCCAUAAAUAAUGUUGCCAUGUUUCUAAAGUCCGAACAAGAGCAUAUAAUUCUUUAUCAUAAGUAGAAUAAUUCAGACAAGGCCCACUCAAUUUUUCAGAAAAGUAUGCAACAGGUUUGCCAUCUUGUAAUAACACACCUCCUAAUCCAAUUCCACUAGCAUCACAUUCAAGCUCAAAAGUCUUAUUAAAAUCAGGAAGUUGGAGUAAAGGAGCAUGUGUCAACUUAUCUUUCAAUACCGUGAAGGCUUCUUCCUGUGCGGUACCCCAAACAAAAGGCACAUCCUUCUUCGUAAGCUCGUUGAGAGGUGCAGCAAUGGUGCUGAAAUCUCUCACAAAACGCCUAUAGAAUCCAGCGAGGCCAAGAAAACUCCUCACUUGUGUGACCGUUUUGGGCUGCGGCCAACUCUCAAUAGCUUCAAUCUUGGCUUUGUCAACUUCAAUUCCCUGUGGAGUAACAACAUAGCCAAGAAAAGAUACUCGGUCGGUGCAAAAGGUGCACUUCCCAAGGUUACCAAACAAACGUGCAUCACGUAGAGCAAUAAAAACAGCACGUAAAUGUUCCAAAUGUUCUUCCAAAGAUCUGCUAUAAAUCAGUAUGUCAUCAAAGUAAACUACCACAAAUCGUCCAAUGAAAGCACGUAAAACUUCGUUCAUUAAUCUCAUGAAAGUACUAGGUGCAUUAGUUAACCCAAAAGGCAUGACUAACCACUCAUAUAAUCCAAACUUAGUUUUAAAUGCUGUUUUCCAUUCAUCUCCCAAUUUCAUACGAAUUUGAUGGUAGCCACUAUGCAAAUCAACUUUGGAGAAUAUUGUAGAGCCACUCAAUUCAUCAAGCAUAUCAUCUAGCCUAGGAAUAGGAUGACGAUAAUGAAUAGUAAUAUUAUUAAUGCCUCUACAAUCAACACACAUACGUGAUGUACCAUCCUUUUUCGGCACUAGAAUAAUAGGAACAGCACAAGGACUAAGGGAUUCGCGUAUAUAACCUUUGUCGAGAAGCUCUUGUACUUGGCGCAUAAUCUCCUUCGUCUCCUCUGGAUUGGUACGGUAUGGUGCACGGUUUGGCAGUGAAGCACCGGGAAUUAAGUCAAUCUGAUGCUCAAUCCCUCGAAUAGGCGGUAAUCCCGGUGGCACGUCUUGUGGAAAGACGUCAGCGAACUCCUGCAAAAUGUUAGUGACAGCAGGAGGCAAAGAGGAAGGCACGUCCUCGAAUGAAAAUAAUGCCUCUUUGCACACAAAAGCAUAGCAAACAGAUUUGCUGAAAUCUAGCUCAUCAAUAUCAGAUUUGCUGGCAAAUAAACAUGCACUUUUCAAUUUAAUUUCAGAAGCAACACUAGAUGGUUUAUUAUUAGGCUUCAUUUGUUGCUCAAAUUCUUUUGCCACAAUCUGAUUUUCACUCUUAUUCGUCUCCUGUUUUGCUUUAUUAGCUCUAUUAAUAUCAUCUUUCAAAAUGGAAUCAGGAGUCAUAGGAAGCAAAGUAAUAUUUUUAUCCUUAUGAACAAGAGUAUAGUGAUUGUUUCUACCAUGGUGUACAGAAUUUUUAUCAAAUUGCCAUGGUCUACCAAGUAAUAAGGAACAUGCUUGCAUAGGUACCACAUCACAAUCAACACAAUCAGCAUAUGUAGAUAUACUAAAAUGCACACGAACAGUACGUGUUACCUUAACCUUGCCGAUGUUGUUUAACCAUUGGAUGUAGUAAGGUUGUGGAUGUGGUCUUGUGGUGAGAGAAAGCUUCUCCACCAUCUCCAUGCUAGCCAAGUUGUUGCAGCUCCCUCCGUCUAUGAUGACGCGCACAGAACGUUCCUUCACAACUCCCUUGGUAUGGAACAAAUUGUGCCUCUGAUUUUGCUCAGCUUGUGUGAUCUACACACUCAAAACACGUUGAGCAACUAAACAUUCAUACCUGUCAGCGUCUUCAGGAGCCAUGUAUUGCGUCUCAUGAUCAGAAUCAUCUCCACCAUGUUCUUCACGUGUAAUAAGAGCCAAAGUCUCCUCAUCAUAGUCACUAGUAGACUCAUAUCCACCAUCCGCGGUAGCAAUCAUCACACACGGAGAUUUGCAUUCUCUCGCAUAAUGACCUCCUCCCUUACAACGACGACAAAUAAUAUCACUUGUGUGCCCUGUUGAUGCCAUGGAAGAAGAAGAACGCUGUGCAGGCCCCGCAGGUGCGCUCUUGGCAGAUAAUGGUGGUUGUGCCUAUUUUCUUGUAUCACGGUGAUGAGGACAUGACUACCUUGGAUAUGACCAAAAAUAUUGCAUAUAUGCAUAUUUGUCAGGUGAUUUCUAGUGCAAACUAUUCAAUAAUCUAUUUAUGUUAUCCAGAACAAAAAUACUUCACACACUUUUGUGUUUUGUCUAAUUGCAGGUGUAUGGGACAUUUGUACAAUCCACAUAUGAAGAUAAGGAAGAAAGAGAUGUUUAUUUGCUGUCCAAAAAGUUCUCUCACGUCACUUUUGGCCCAAGCGAAGAUAGAGUCCAAGUCUCUCACGUUCUGGAUUCAGAUUCGGACUGCACAGACAUACCUGACUCAAAACGCACACAAGUUUUUCAUACGGACUCCGAAUUGGGUGAUUCUUUUUUUGUUGGAAACUAGAUUUCAUGCACUUUCCAACCCAAUUGGAAUCACCUUCAAAUUCGUCCGGAGCGUUGAGUUGUGGACGAAACAAUCUGAUGCUGCAGCAGAAUCCGAGUCAAACUACAAGUCCAAAGGUGUUACAUCACCUCCACUUGGGCCCAUUGGCCUUGUACGACCUAGAUUUAGUUUUAGGCUGCCUUGGGACGUCCUCCCACCUCCUUGGCCGCCACCCCUUGCUCCUAUAUAAGUAGAUCCAUCUAGUAGCUUUUCCUUGGGAUUUGUUUAGUUAAAAGUUAGCCAUUGCAACUUCGUGUACUUCGUUUGUGUCCAACGACCAGACCAAGACCGCUUACGGAUCCCCACCAUUAUCAAUACCUCAUAUAUAUUUGCAAUAUUCAGAUUGCUUUAUCAUAUUCUUGCUCGUUCUUCGAUUGCUUGCAGGAAUAGACCUUCGUGGUCAGGCUGACCGUGCUUCCGGCAUCGUCAGUAACCUCAGGAGAUUGGUUUAGCGAUUGCUAAGGCGCAACAUCGUGCACGUUUGUAGUCGGAUCGUUAAAGUCGUCUCCACCAAAUCGAUAGUUAUCAUCUCAUCGAAAGAUCGGGACACCCUCGCCUCUAUCAAGUGGUAUCAGUUUUCAGGUUGCUCGGUGAGAAUUUCCAGUUUUCCUAGAUUAGAUUUACUUUCUUACCUAUUGUCCAAGAAAAAGCCACAAAAAAGAGUUAGAUCUAUUCAUCCUUGGUCCAAGCCAGUCUGAGCCGUUGCAAUUUUCUUUUCAUUGAUUGCAUAGUUGAAUUAUCGAUUGCAUCGUCGUGUCGAGUUGCUGGUCUUAGUGUCUAGUUCAUUUAGAGUUUCGAGUUCUGUUCACAUUAGUCACGCCACCGCUGCAUCAUUAUCUCUUCCGCUGUCCACCACCCAUCCAUCAAUUUCCACCACGUGCUACCCACCAUUCAUUGUCAUAAUAAUAGUUGAGAUCGUUCACAUCUUCACUUGAUCCAAUCUGCAUCUUAUCUAGUUUGUUUUGGAAAGAGGGAGAAAAAAGAGAGAAAAAAACGAGAGAAAAAAAAAGGAAAAAAAGUCAGAGAAAAAAAAAGGAGAGAAAGAAAAAAAAGUGUGAGGAAAAAAAAGAGAGAAGAAAAAAAAACAAAAAAAUCGGCACAAACUUUUUCAGAGGAAAGUUGGAGACAAAGUUGUUGAUAUAUCCUGCUUGGCUGUUGUUUCACCUCAUUAUCUUCACUACUGUUGUGAUCUUCACUUAUAUCUUGCUGUCAAGAGCUACUUAGUAUCCUUCAUUGAUGCUAGUUGUGCUACGCCGUGACCUCAUUAGUGUUCUAGGCUCGCGUCUCUAGUCCGGUCUAGCCUAGGACCAGCACAGUACCGUCGUUGAGCGUUUAUUCAACAUUGCAUCUUUGAAUUGAUUAUUGCUAAUCUUUUGCUACCAUAUAUAGCCAACCCAGCUCCACAUAUUUCUACACCGUGUAUACGUACGCUCCCCUGGCAAUCGCUUUACUCAAUAUUCGGAGUUACUUGACACCGCUGGUUGCCGAUCACCGCCUGCUGCAUGGUAAGAACUUGUAAGACAUUGAUAUUUGCUUUACUGUGAGCGUUUUACCACCACAUCCUAGUAGUUAUAGGAACAUUAUUUUUGGGUUUUGUUUCUUGUUCUACUAAUCAUGACAGGAUACAGAGUCAAUUCAUGGGCUUUGUCGAUCGCGGGAGACGUGCCACCACCUUUGCAAAUACCACAACCGUCACGAGAGGUGCACAAACAUCCAAAUGCACAUGAUCAGGUUAAUGUAUCUAUACCACCAUUUAAUGGCCGUUUUAAACCUGCUUUAUAUAUUGAAUGGGAGUUCGACAUAAAAAAUAUAUUUGCUUCCCAUAAUUUCGAUGAACAUAAAAAGGUUAAGGUUGCGGUUGGUUCUUUCACUGGUUAUGCUUUGGUUUGGUGGAGUGAAUAUUGUCGGUUACACCCUGAUUAUAUACCUACUACUUGGGAUGAUUUGAAACUUGCCAUGCGACAUACUUUUGUCCCUGCUUAUUAUACUCGUGACAUGAUUAAGAAGUUGCAACACUUAAAACAAGGUAGUGAAACUGUAACAAAAUAUUAUGAUGAUUUACAAACUACCUUGUUGCAUUCCUCUUUAGAAGAAAGUGAAGAUGAUUUUAUGGAUAGAUUUUGGGGAGGAUUAAGCCGUGAUAUUCAAGAGAUACUAAUUCAUGAAGAGUGUUAUCCUAUGGACCAUUUGUUUCAUCUUGCUUGCAAAGCUGAACAGGAAAUAAAACGACAUGUUAGCCACGAGGAGAACAAGCGCACGGUGCACAUUCCAAGAGUUGAUAUGAUUGUUCCUUCAACUACUAGGCAUACUAUGACAACCACAUCCGUUGUUGUCAGGACUACAUCACCUCCACCAUGUGACACAUCGCCCCCGAGAGUGGCUACAUCAUCUGAGUUGAUCAUAAGAGGUAAUGACAAAGGUACUGAUCUUCCAUCUCUACAUGAGAAUGAUGAAUGCCUUGUCAAUUUGAAUGCACCAUCUGAUGAGCUACCCACUACUUUGAUCACACCACCUAUUUUAGAGGACUACGUUGAUAAUUUGACUUUGCCAUGUGAUCAAACAACUGAAAUACCAACAAUUUUGAGUGCACCCAUUGAAUUAACUAUUAAUGCAAAAGAACCAAUGUUUAAUCAUUUUGAUAUGACCUCUAAUCUUGGUGAUGAUUCUGUGUUAAAUGACUUAUUGCAUGUUUGCUUAUUUAAGCAUGUUGUAGCAUGUAAAUUUGAUGCAAGUAAGGUUUAUUCACCAAUGUUGGGAUGGUUUAAUGAUGAACAUUGUCAAUCUUUUGAAAUGAAUAAGAGCUUCACUUAUAUGUGCAAACUGAGUUGCAAUAUUUUCAUGCCUUCUACUUCUUGUGCUAAUUUUUUGGCUUUAGAUUUUAUGAACUAUGCAAGUUACUCAUCUAUUCAUGUGUCAUAUAUGCAAAAAUCAAGGGAAGUAAAAAUGGAUGACAUAUACAUAUACAACAUGUACACCUUGUCUCUUUUGUUAGCCACAUUUCAGAUUAAGCAACGCCGAGGACGGCUUUAUUUUCAAGAAGGUGGGGAUGAUGAGGACAUGACUACCUUGGAUAUGACCAAAAAUAUUGCAUAUAUGCAUAUUUGUCAGGUGAUUUCUAGUGCAAACUAUUCAAUAAUCUAUUUAUGUUAUCCAGAACAAAAAUACUUCACACACUUUUGUGUUUUGUCUAAUUGCAGGUGUAUGGGACAUUUGUACAAUCCACAUAUGAAGAUAAGGAAGAAAGAGAUGUUUAUUUGCUGUCCAAAAAGUUCUCUCACGUCACUUUUGGCCCAAGCGAAGAUAGAGUCCAAGUCUCUCACGUUCUGGAUUCAGAUUCGGACUGCACAGACAUACCUGACUCAAAACGCACACAAGUUUUUCAUACGGACUCCGAAUUGGGUGAUUCUUUUUUUGUUGGAAACUAGAUUUCGUGCACUUUCCAACCCAAUUAGAAUCACCUUCAAAUUCGUCCGGAGCGUUGAGUUGUGGACGAAACAAUCUGAUGCUGCAGCAGAAUCCGAGUCAAACUACAAGUCCAAAGGUGUUACAUCACCUCCACUUGGGCCCAUUGGCCUUGUACGACCUAGAUUUAGUUUUAGGCUGCCUUGGGACGUCCUCCCACCUCCUUGGCCGCCACCCCUUGCUCCUAUAUAAGUAGAUCCAUCUAGUAGCUUUUCCUUGGGAUUUGUUUAGUUAAAAGUUAGCCAUUGCAACUUCGUGUACUUCGUUUGUGUCCAACGACCAGACCAAGACCGCUUACGGAUCCCCACCAUUAUCAAUAUCUCAUAUAUAUUUGCAAUAUUCAGAUUGCUUUUUCAUAUUCUUGCUCGUUCUUCGAUUGCUUGCAGGAAUAGACCUUCGUGGUCAGGCUGACCGUGCUUCCGGCAUCGUCAGUAACCUCAUGAGAUUGGUUUAGCGAUUGCUAAGGCGCAACAUCGUGCACGUUUGUAGUCGGAUCGUUAAAGUCGUCUCCACCAAAUCGAUAGUUAUCAUCUCAUCGAAAGAUCGGGACACCCUCGCCUCUAUCAAGUGGUAUCAGUUUUCAGGUUGCUCGGUGAGAAUUUCCAGUUUUCCUAGAUUAGAUUUACUUUCUUACCUAUUGUCCAAGAAAAAGCCACAAAAAAGAGUUAGAUCUAUUCAUCCUUGGUCCAAGCCAGUCUGAGCCGUUGCAAUUUUCUUUUCAUUGAUUGCAUAGUUGAAUUAUCGAUUGCAUCGUCGUGUCGAGUUGCUGGUCUUAGUGUCGAGUUCAUUUAGAGUUUCGAGUUCUGUUCACAUUAGUCAUGCCACCGCUGCAUCAUUAUCUCUUCCGCUGUCCACCACCCAUCCAUCAAUUUCCACCACGUGCUACCCACCAUUCAUUGUCAUAAUAAUAGUUGAGAUCGUUCACAUCUUCACUUGAUCCAAUCUGCAUCUUAUCUAGUUUGUUUUGGAAAGAGGGAGAAAAAAGAGAGAAAAAAACGAGAGAGAAAAAAAGGAAAAAAAGUCAGAGAAAAAAAAAGGAGAGAAAGAAAAAAAAGUGUGAGGAAAAAAAGAGAGAAGAAAAAAAAACAAAAAAAUCGGCACAAACUUUUUCAGAGGAAAGUUGGAGACAAAGUUGUUGAUAUAUCCUGCUUGGCUGUUGUUUCACCUCAUUAUCUUCACUACUGUUGUGAUCUUCACUUAUAUCUUGCUGUCAAGAGCUACUUAGUAUCCUUCAUUGAUGCUAGUUGUGCUACGCCGUGACCUCAUUAGUGUUCUAGGCUCGCGUCUCUAGUCCGGUCUAGCCUAGGACCAGCACAGUACCGUCGUUGAGCGUUUAUUCAACAUUGCAUCUUUGAAUUGAUUAUUGCUAAUCUUUUGCUACCAUAUAUAGCCAACCCAGCUCCACAUAUUUCUACACCGUGUAUACGUACGCUCCCCUGUCAAUCGCUUUACUCAAUAUUCGGAGUUACUUGACACCGCUGGUUGCCGAUCACCGCCUGCUGCAUGGUAAGAACUUGUAAGACAUUGAUAUUUGCUUUACUGUGAGCGUUUUACCACCACAUCCUAGUAGUUAUAGGAACAUUAUUUUUGGGUUUUGUUUCUUGUUCUACUAAUCAUGACAGGAUCCAGAGUCAAUUCAUGGGCUUUGUCGAUCGCGGGAGACGUGCCACCACCUUUGCAAAUACCACAACCGUCACGAGAGGUGCACAAACAUCCAAGUGCACAUGAUCAGGUUAAUGUAUCUGUACCACCAUUUAAUGGCCGUUUUAAACCUGCUUUAUAUAUUGAAUGGGAGUUCGACAUAAAAAAUAUAUUUGCUUCCCAUAAUUUCGAUGAACAUAAAAAGGUUAAGGUUGCGGUUGGUUCUUUCACUGGUUAUGCUUUGGUUUGGUGGAGUGAAUAUUGUCGGUUACACCCUGAUUAUAUACCUACUACUUGGGAUGAUUUGAAACUUGCCAUGCGACAUACUUUCGUCCCUGCUUAUUAUACUCGUGACAUUAUUAAGAAGUUGCAACACUUAAAACAAGGUAGUGAAACUGUAACAAAAUAUUAUGAUGAUUUACAAACUACCUUGUUGCAUUCCUCUUUAGAAGAAAGUGAAGAUGAUUUUAUGGAUAGAUUUUGGGGAGGAUUAAACCGUGAUAUUCAAGAGAUACUAAUUCAUGAAGAGUGUUAUUCUAUGGACCAUUUGUUUCAUCUUGCUUGCAAAGCUGAACAGGAAAUAAAACGACGUGUUGGCCAUGAGGAGAACAAGCGCACGGUGCACAUUCCAAGAGUUGAUAUGAUUGUUCCUUCAACUACUAGGCAUACUAUGACAACCACAUCCGUUGUUGUCAGGACUACAUCACCUCCACCAUGUGACACAUCGCCCCCGAGAGUGGCUACAUCAUCUGAGUUGAUCAUAAGAGGUAAUGACAAAGGUACUGAUCUUCCAUCUCUACAUGAGAAUGAUGAAUGCCUUGUCAAUUUGAAUGCACCAUCUGAUGAGCUACCCACUACUUUGAUCACACCACCUAUUUUAGAGGACUACGUUGAUAAUUUGACUUUGCCAUGUGAUCAAACAACUGAAAUACCAACAAUUUUGAGUGCACCCAUUGAAUUAACUAUUAAUGCAAAAGAACCAAUGUUUAAUCAUUUUGAUAUGACCUCUAAUCUUGGUGAUGAUUCUGUGUUAAAUGACUUAUUGCAUGUUUGCUUAUUUAAGCAUGUUGUAGCAUGUAAAUUUGAUGCAAGUAAGGUUUAUUCACCAAUGUUGGGAUGGUUUAAUGAUGAACAUUGUCAAUCUUUUGAAAUGAAUAAGAGCUUCACUUAUAUGUGCAAACUGAGUUGCAAUAUUUUCAUGCCUUCUACUUCUUGUGCUAAUUUUUUGGCUUUAGAUUUUAUGAACUAUGCAAGUUACUCAUCUAUUCAUGUGUCAUAUAUGCAAAAAUCAAGGGAAGUAAAAAUGGAUGACAUAUACAUAUACAACAUGUAGACCCUGUCUCUUUUGUUAGCCACAUUUCAGAUUAAGCAACGCCGAGGACGGCUUUAUUUCAUCACCUACGCCAUGUGACACACCGCCCCCGAGAGUGGCUACAUCAUCUGAGUUGAUCAUAAGAGGUAAUGACAAAGGUACUGAUCUUCCAUCUCUACAUGAGAAUGAUGAAUGCCUUGUCAAUUUGAAUGCACCAUCUGAUGAGCUACCCACUACUUUGAUCACACCACCUAUUUUAGAGGACUACGUUGAUAAUUUGACUUUGCCAUGUGAUCAAACAACUGAAAUACCAACAAUUUUGAGUGCACCCAUUGAAUUAAUUAUUGAUGCAAAAGAACCAAUGUUUAAUCAUUUUGAUAUGACCUCUAAUCUUGGUGAUGAUUCUGUGUUGAAUGACUUAUUGCAUGUUUGCUUAUUUAAGCAUGUUGUAGCAUGUAAAUUUGAUGCAAGUAAGGUUUAUUCACCAAUGUUGGGAUGGUUUAAUGAUGAACAUUGUCAAUCUUUUGAAAUGAAUAAGAGCUUCACUUAUAUGUGCAAACUGAGUUGCAAUAUUUUCAUGCCUUCUACUUCUUGUGCUAAUUUUUUGGCUUUAGAUUUUAUGAAGUAUGCAAGUUACUCAUCUAUUCAUGUGUCAUAUAUGCAAAAAUCAAGGGAAGUAAAAAUGGAUGACAUAUACAUAUACAACAUGUACACCUUGUCUCUUUUGUUAGCCACAUUUCAGAUUAAGCAACGCCGAGGACGGCUUUAUUUUCAAGAAGGGGAGGAUGAUGAGGACAUGACUACCUUGGAUAUGACCAAAAAUAUUGCAUAUAUGCAUAUUUGUCAGGUGAUUUCUAGUGCAAACUAUUCAAUAAUCUAUUUAUGUUAUCCAGAACAAAAAUACUUCACACACUUUUGUGUUUUGUCUAAUUGCAGGUGUAUGGGACAUUUGUACAAUCCACAUAUGAAGAUAAGGAAGAAAGAGAUGUUUAUUUGCUGUCCAAAAAGUUCUCUCACGUCACUUUUGGCCCAAGAGAAGAUAGAGUCCAAGUCUCUCACGUUCUGGAUUCAGAUUCGGACUGCACAGACACACCUGACUCAAAACGCACACAAGUUUUUCAUACGGGCUCCGAAUUGGGUGAUUCUUUUUUUGUUGGAAACUAGAUUUCGUGCACUUUCCAACCCAAUUGGAAUAACCUUCAAAUUCGUCCGGAGCGUUGAGUUGUGGAUGAAACAAUUUGAUGCUGCAGCAGAAUCCGAGUCAAACUACAAGUCCAAAGGUGUUACAUCACCUCCACUUGGGCCCAUUGGCCUUGUACGACCUAGAUUUAGUUUUAGGCUGCCUUGGGACGUCCUCCCACCUCCUUGGCCGCCACCCCUUGCUCCUAUAUAAGUAGAUCCAUCUAGUAGCUUUUCCUUGGGAUUUGUUUAGUUAAAAGUUAGCCAUUGCAACUUCGUGUACUUCGUUUGCGUCCAACGACCAGACCAAGACCGCUUACGGAUCCCCACCAUUAUCAAUACCUCAUAUAUAUUUGCAAUAUUCAGAUUGCUUUAUCAUAUUCUUGCUCGUUCUUCGAUUGCUUGCAGGAAUAGACCUUCGUGGUCAGGCUGACCGUGCUUUCGGCAUCGUCAGUAACCUCAGGAGAUUGGUUUAGCGAUUGCUAAGGCGCAACGUCGUGCUCAUUUGUAGUCGGAUCGUCAAAGUCAUCUCCACCAAAUCGAUAGUUAUCAUCUCAUCGAAAGAUCGGGACACCCCGCCUCUAUCAGCUUCAUUCUCCUCAACAAUACCACAUCGAAUCAUGCCAGUUUGUAAUUCCUGAUAAUAUUCUUCUACAGAAUUUUUCCCUUGUCUUAAACGCUGCAAUUUUUGAAGCAAUUCACGUUGAUAAUAUGGUGGAACCCAACGCGUACGCAUAGCAGUUUUCAAAGCAGCCCAAGUAGUUGGAAUAGGAUAUAAUCUACAAUGUUCAGACCACCAUACACAUGCAAAACUAGUGAAAGCACAAACAGCAGCAGCAACUCGUCUCUCCUCAGGAUAUUGUAAACAUGUAAAUCGUUGUUCAGUUUCUAACUCCCAAGUAAGAUAUAUAUCAGGAACAUAUCUACCCUCAAAUGGUGGAAUAUUCAAUUUCAGUUUAGGAAUAUGGACAUCAUCGCGUACCUGAGGUGGUGGUGCAGGCCUACCAUUACGAAUAUAUACCUGAGGUCGACCUGCUGGUGGUGGUACAGGUGGCUGCACGUAGUGUUGAUUUUGAUCAACCUCAUCCUCAUAAUCUCCCACAUAAUCAUCAUCCUCCACAUCAGCAGCAGGAGCCACAGAAGUAUCAACAGCAGCACCAACAGUUUGGCCAAACGCAAGAGGAACACGGCUUGCUCGGCGGAGGUCUGCUUCGCGACGUGGAGGUAGUCGUUGUUGUUGUUGUUGGAGAGGUGCGUUAGGUGCAGCGGGUGGUGGUGGUGGAAGACGCGCGAGCAAUUCAUUAAACUUGUUAUCGAGCUUUGUUUCGAACGUCUUCUCAAGGCCAGUGAUCUUCUCCAUGGCCUCUUCAAAAUUGUUCAGCACAUCUUGCACCUGUUCAGUCAUCAUUUGCUGAAACUUAUCAUGAAGCUCCUUGUUCGAUAAAUUCUCCCAGUCAAUCUCGUCGGCUUGUGAUCCUGGCAUGGUUAGCAGCAAUAGAAACACACAAGAAUAUGAUCCUACAGACUACGAACAAGUGGUGGUGGUGGUUGUCACAAAUCCGUCAAGCAAAACUCAAAUUCUUACCAGUUCUUACCCAGCAACAGGCGGUGAUCGGCAACCGUUGUAGUCAAAACUCUCAAAGCUUGGAUAGAGCGAUUACCAGGGAGAGUCAAACGCACGACGUAGAUGUAUGUGGAGCUGGGAAGGCUUAUAAUAUGGUAGCAAAAAGGGUCAGCAAUAAUCAAUUCAGAGAUGCAAAGUUGAAUAAACGCUCAACGACGGUACUGUGCUGGUCCUAGGCUAGACUGUGCUAGAGACGCGAGCCUAGAACACCAACAAAAUCACGGCGCGGCACGUAAACAAGGGAGGAGCACACUUUGAAUUUUUUUUCUCUUUUUUUUGCACUUUUUUUUCCUCUUUUUUUUUUGCUCCGCAACAAAUUUUUUUCGAAAAAGUCUACAAAUGGUCUAAAAACUGCCUAGCCAGAAUUUUCCAGACUUAGUUUUUUUUUUGAAAUUGGAACUAUUUUUCUUCUGCAGAUGGCUCGGAAGUUGGGGAGUCCUUCUCUGUCACGACUCGGAGUGUCGCGUGAUCUGGAAAUCAAGAACAAUGCAACAAUUACUGGAGUCGGACUAGGACUGGUGGCGGAGAUGAAUCUGGUGGAACUCGGACUGGUGGCGGAGAUGAAUCUGGUGGAACACGGACAGGUGGCGGAUAUAUGUUGCAGGUGAACUCGGAUUGGCGUGAUGGCGGCGGAUAUGUGGUGGCGUAUAUGGAUUCGGAUUGGCGGUGAAUAUGUGGUGGUGGUAUAUGGCAACAGCGACGAUGAUGAUGCGGUGGUGAUAUAUGGCAGCGGCGACGUGACAACCUGUGAACAGAACUCGAAACUCUAAAAGACUAGACGCUAAGACCAGCAACUGGACACGACGAUGCAACCGCAAAUUCAACAAAGCAAAUACAGAAAAGAUUAUGCAAGGCUCAGAUUGGUUCGAAUGGGAUGAACUAACCCUAAUUUUUUUUGGCUUUUUCGUGGACUAUAGGUAUGAAGAACAGACUCGAUCUAAACUACGAAAAAGUGUAAAAUCUCACCGAGCAACCUGGAAAUCUGAUACCACUUGAUAGAGGCCAAGGUGUCCCGUCUUUCGAUGAGAUGAUGGAUAUCGCUUUGGUGGAAGUCGACUUUGACGAUCCGACUACGAACGUGCGAGGACGUCGCGCCUUAGCAAUCGCUAAACCAACUCCGAGAGGUUAUUGACCACGCCGGAGCACGAUCAACCUGACCACGAGGGUCUGUUUCCUGCGAGGAAACGAAGAACAAGCAAGAAACUAAGAUUGCAAUCUGGAUAUUGCGAAUUAAGAUGAAAGCUUUAUUGAUCAAGGUGGGGUUCUGUGUCGCCUUUGUCUGGUCGUUGAACACAAACGAAGUACGCGAAGUUGCACCUAUGGCGAACUUUUAAUCUAAACAAAACCCCAAAGUCUAAACGGUGCCCUAAGGGCUGUAUAUAUGGAGGAAGAGAGGGGGAAUUUCGUGGCCCUUGGUGGAGGGGUCCGAAAUCAACCCUAUCUCUUGUUUCCCCACACAUACGGACUCUAAAAAUAGCCUAUACUUAUGUAUUUCGAAAUUACAUGGGCCUGGCCCAAUAAAAAGGUGACGCAGCACCUAUAAUAGCCUCGGGACGAAAUUUAUGAAGUGGCAUCUUGUAUAUUUCGUCCAUGGCUUCAUGCACCCAUUAUGGUGGCUUCAAAGUCCUGAAAUCAUCACUUGUAACUCCGUUCUUGUUCCCCUUGCGCAUGGCAUCAUCUCCAUGCUUGUUCUUGCUCCAAUGUUCAUCCUUCUCCAAGCUAGGCCCUUCAUUUGUAAGCAAAACAAAUGUAUCCAAUUUAGGCAGCAUCAUAUUCUCAUGAACAUUAGAAUCAUUACCAAGAAACGAAAGUACCUGAUAAUUUAAUUGGCGUGCGCGAGCUCUAGUAAUUGGUCCCGUAUAUGUAGCAGUAGGGGCUGUGGGUGUAACAAUGGUAUUGAUGUCCUCAUCACAUGCACUUUAGGGCAUGCCUACACAGGGAAAGGAACCCUUAAUGGAACUAUUCUCUCUGAAGAUGUUUCUUACUACCCAUGUAAUAUAACAUAACUAGUUGGGCACUUGUCUGAUAAAGCACUAAUGACCCCUACGCCUGGUCUCCAUGCAUGCCCCGGUUCUUACAUAACCGCGAGGGUAUUCGGAUGCACUCUGGACCAUCGGGUCCCGAGGUUGAAGCGAAAAGGUCCGCCAUGACAAACGAUCUACAAUCCAGCUAGAAGGCAUCAUACAUGUCACUUUAAAAUUACAUAGUCAAUUUGACUGGUUGAAUUCCUCCUCAAUGCCAUCUAAUAGGUUGUCUAGUCUACAGUCCUGUUGGGAAUACUUUGCGGCAGAUUCUACUUGGUCAUACACUAAAUUCACAGGGAUCUCCUUGCCGUCAGGCCCCACAGGUCCGACUUCGGCCAUGUGGUUCCGUCAGCCUUCAUGUACCGUGUCUUCACCAUUGUCCAAGCCUCCCUGGCGCCCUGACGGCAGGCCGAUAUCUUCUAUAAUCGGAAACGCCGUCGUGCUCCCUUCGGCUUUUCUGCAAGCUCUCCAAGGCCUUCGGGCAUGGAGACGGACGGCCACAAGGCCUGGGCAAUGCCUUGCAUCACCUACCGAACUCGUUUGUGCAACUGUGCGAGCUCGGGAAGAAGAUCACCCGUCGAACUAGGCAUCUCCUCGGCAGGACGUCCUGUUAGCAUACCUACAGACAUAACUCUGUCAGCCAGCUUCCUCGCCGAACUCUUUUUCAAAAGUUCGUUCAAGCACUUACUAAAUAUGCCGCGUCGAAGCCGCCGAUUCUCCUUAACAGAGUCCGACAUUUGGGCACGGACAUCUUUUACUUCCACGCCCAGCUUGGUGUUGGCAUCUUGAAGAUCAUUCUUCUCCUGCCUCACCCUCAUUAGCACGCUCUCACCAGCCUUUAGCUGGCGUUUGAGCUGCUGCUUAUCCGGAUUCACUCCAGCGUCAUCUGCAAUUUUAUCGUCAGAUUUGAAUAUAAAGCCACACUCUAAUAUGAUACUUAUCAUUUGACGGAUAUGUUACCAGCGGGGGCCUCUUUGGGCUCCCCUACGGCGGACAAUGCGGCCUAAAGUUGGGCUUUGCACUCUUCCAGCUCCUGGGCCAGUUGAGUAUUCUUUUUUGUAAGAACCUACAUAACAAAUGAUCCUUAAAUCAGUUAUCCUAACUGUUUCAAGUCUCAGGGGCUACUAAUAUAUAUAAUCAUCAAAUUUUCUCACCUGUAUGUGUUUUACAUAUUGCUCCGUGGCUCUGGCUAAACCAUUUUGAGCGGCACGGAGGUGCGCAUCUCCCGAGUUGAAGGCAUCCAAAGCCUCUUGGGAGAAACAAGCGUCAUGAAGAACAGUCCGGUGACGCCUAUGGUUCAUAGCACUUUCCACCUCGGAAUGGGUGGCGGACAGUCUAUCUGUUUCCUCUGUCGGAGGAGCACCCGGUGCACGCCUUGUACUCGUUCCCACCCCCGAGUCCGGCCUUGGAGCCUGGCUUGUGGAGGCGCGGUUGGUAGCCUCUCCGGGUAUAGUCCGGCGAGCGCUCUUUCUCUUGAAAAGAAGGCCUGGGCGUUAAUAUGCCUCUGUAAAUAAUGUCUUGCGAUAAAGAUGGCGCGCUAUACCGCUGCGCCGGUGCCUCAAUCCGGACUGCGGAACUUUUCAGCUUGCCUGGCCCAGCGGCCCCUUGUUGGCUAGUUGCCACAGGCUCGGCCUUCUGCCCCGAGGGCCUCCCCUGCAAAACACGACUGUUAUACGGCAAUAAAAAAGAGCACAAGGACGGAUCCCUUGUUAUAUGCUGGGACUUCGGUCUCAGUCACCUGUGAGGCUGGAACUAGCCCGGGGUAAUCGGCUAUAAUGGCCACCAAGGUAUUAUCAUUACUCCCUUGGUAAAAUACCCGGUCAAUCAGCUCCACGGAUAUGUCCGGAUCCUCCUGGGAGGCCGGAUCAAGGGAUCUUCCAGGGUCCUCGGGCUGUGGAGGAGGGCUGGUUAUCUCCUUUACUUCCUGGCGCAGCUCCUGCGAUGAAAUCGCUAGAAUAAAUACUUAAACUACAGGAAUACAAAACGGAUGGGCGAGAACAAAUCUCCGCUUACCCAGCUUGGAGGAUUGUACAUGGAGAAUCCGCCCUACGGGUUGACACGGAGGAACUCCUCCUCUUCUCCCUUGUACAAAGUGGACAAGAUCUUUGUCAAGUCCGCAGUCGAUCCCGGCCCUUUUCGGCCAUGGCGGAUGGCUCAUCCUCCCCAUUGAAGUCCUUCAUGGGGUGGCCUCUAUACUUGAGCGGCUGCACCCCCCGCAUAAUGCAUAUAGCCAUAACCUCGAUCAUGGUCAAUCCGGAUCGAGCUAAAGAGCUUAUCCGGCUUGUCAGAUAAAGAAUGUCCCGGACGUCUUCCUCCAGAGGGCUUCGUGGAUGCCAGCUCUGGCGCUUCUUCAAAGGGGCGUUGUCAAACUCAGGAAGGCCGAUCCGAAUAGGGUCCAGAAGGGGGGACAUCUUCUAUAUAAAACCAUUCUGAAGGCCGGUCUUCGGACAUCUUCUUCGGGGUCCCGGAUAGGUAUCCGGUCCUAGCAAUAUGCCACACUUCGGCUCCACCCACUUGAUAUAUUGAUCCCUUCUUAGAACGGGGCACAAGGCAGAACAGCUUCCACAAGGCGAAAUGAGCCUCACAGCCCAAAAAUAACUCGCAAAUGGCUACGAAUCCCACGAUAUGCAGCAUGGAGGCAGGCAUAAGGUUGUGCAGAUGGAGGCUGAUGAGGACAUGACUACCUUGGAUAUGACCAAAAAUAUUGCAUAUAUGCAUAUUUUUCAGGUGAUUUCUAGUGCAAACUAUUCAAUAAUCUAUUUAUGUUAUCCAGAACAAAAAUACUUCACACACUUUUGUGUUUUGUCUAAUUGCAGGUGUAUGGGACAUUUGUACAAUCCACAUAUGAAGAUAAGGAAGAAAGAGAUGUUUAUUUGCUGUCCAAAAAGUUCUCUCACGUCACUUUUGGCCCAAGAGAAGAUAGAGUCCAAGUCUCUCACGUUCUGGAUUCAGAUUCGGACUGCACAGACAUACCUGACUCAAAACGCACACAAGUUUUUCAUACGGACUCCGAAUUGGGUGAUUCUUUUUUUGUUGGAAACUAGAUUUCGUGCACUUUCCAACCCAAUUGGAAUCACCUUCAAAUUCAUCCGGAGCAUUGAGUUGUGGACGAAACAAUCUGAUGCUGCAGCAGAAUCCGAGUCAAACUACAAGUCCAAAGGUGUUACAUCACCUCCACUUGGGCCCAUUGGCCUUGUACGACCUAGAUUUAGUUUUAGGAUGCCUUGGGAUGUCCUCCCACCUCCUUGGCCACCACCCCUUGCUCCUAUAUAAGUAGAUCCAUCUAGUAGCUUUUUCCUUGGGAUUUGUUUAGUUAAAAGUUAGCCAUUGCAACUUCGUGUGCUUCGUUUGUGUCCAACGACCAGACCAAGACCACUUUUCGGAUCCCCACCAUUAUCAAUACUUCAUACAUAUUCGCGAUAUUCAGAUUGCUUUUAUCAUAUUCUUGCUUGUUCUUCGAUUGCUUGCAGGAAUAGACCUUCGUGGUCAGGCUGACCGUGCUUCGGCGUGGUCAAUAACCUCUCGGAGUUGGUUUAGCGAUUGCUAAGGCACAACGUCGUUGCACGUUUGUAGUCGGAUCGUCAAAGUCGUCUCCACCAAAUCGAUAGUUAUCAUCUCAUCGAAAGAUCGGGACACCCCGCCUCUAUCAAGUGGUAUCAGUUUUCAGGUUGCUCGAUGAGAAUUUCCAGUUUUCCUAGAUUAGAUUUAUUUUCUUACCUAUUGUCCAAGAAAAAGCCACACACAAAAAAGUUAGAUCUGUUCAUCCUUUAUCCAAGCCAGUCUGAGCCUUUGCAAUUUUCUAUUCAUUGCUUGCAUAGUUGAAUUAUCGGUUGCAUCGUCGUGUCAGUUGCUGGUCUUAGCGUCUAGUUCCUUCAGAGUUUCGAGUUCUGUUCACAUUAGUCACGCAGCCGCUGCAUCAUUAUCCCAUCCGCUGUCCACCAUCCCAUCCACCAAUUUCCACCACGUGCUACGCACCGUUCAUUGUCAUAAUCAUAGUUGAGGUCACUCACAUCUUCGCCUGAUCGAAUCUGCAUCUUAUCUAGUUUUCUUGGAAAGAGGGAGAGAGAAAAAAAAAGAAAAAGAAAAAAAAAGCGUGAGAAAAAAAAAAGAGAAUAAAAAAAAUUGGAUCUAUCUAGAAUCAUUCUCGUACCUGAAUUCGGAUUGGAAUCUGUUUUGCGCACUGUUCAGUAAAACAGGUGUAUCUUCCUCAUACGAAGUCCGUUUUGGCUCCGUGACUACUCAAAUUGAAGAUAGCGACGAGCCGCAUCUAAAUAGUUGCAGAAGCUAGUUCAAUAUUUGACACCUCAAAAUCGGCUUCUAAAUAGGUCUUUUUGCCCUCCGAAGUUCGUGAACACGGCUUGUUCCAAUUUUUCAGGGCAGUUUUAGAAUUCUUUGACUCCUCAUAUCAACUCGGAAUUGAGUGAUUCUUUUUGCAUUGGAAAGCUUGAGUUAGUAGAAUUCUUUGAAAGAAUUUAUCAGAAAAUUGUCUCAAACUUUUCAAGAGGAAAGUUGGAGAGAGAGUUGUUGUAUAUCCUGCUUGGCAGUUGUUUUUCAUCAUUAUCUUCACUGCCGUUGUGAUCUUCACUUAUAUCUUGCUGUCAAGAGCUACUUUGAUAGAGGCGGAGGUGUCCCGUCUUUCGAUGAGAUGAUGGAUUUCGCUUUGGUGGAAGUCGACUUUGACGAUCCGACUACGAACGUGCGAGGACAUCGCGCCUUAGCAAUCGCUAAACCAACUCCGAAAGGUUAUUGACCACGCCGGAGCACGAUCAACCUGACCACGAGGGUUUGUUUCCUGCGAGCAAACGAAGAACAAGCAAGAAACUGAGAUUGCAAUUUGGAUAUUGCGAAUAUAAGAUGAAAGCUUUAUUGAUCAAGGUGGGGUUCUGUGACGCCUUUGUCUGGUCGUUGAACACAAACGAAGUACGCGAAGUUGCAGCUAUGGCGAACUUUCAAUCUAAACAAAACCCCAAAAAUAAUGUUCCUAUAACUACUAGGAUGUGGUGGUAAAAUGCUCACAGUAAAGCAAAUAUCAAUGUCUUACAAGUUCUUACCAUGCAGCAGGCGGUGAUCGGCAACCAGCGGUGUCAAGUAACUCCGAAUAUUGAGUAAAGCAAUUGCCAGGCGAGCGUAUGUAUACACGGUGUAGAAAUAUGUGGAGCUGGGUUGGCUAUAUAUGGUAGCAAAAGAUUAGCAAUAAUCAAUUCAAAGAUGCAAUGUUGAAUAAACGCUCAACGACGGUACUGUGCUGGUCCUAGGCUAGACCGGACUAGAGACGCGAGCCUAGAACACUAAUGAGGUCACGGCGUAGCACAACUAGCAUCAAUGAAGGAUACUAAGUAGCUCUUGACAGCAAGAUAUAAGUGAAGAUCACAACGGCAGUGAAGAUAAUGAUGAAAAACAACUGCCAAGCAGGAUAUACAACAACUCUCUCUCCAACUUUCCUCUUGAAAAAUUUGAGACAAUUUUCUGAUAAAUUCUUUCAAAGAAUGCUACUAACUCAAGCUUUCCAAUGCAAAAAUAAUCACUCAAUUCCGAGUUGAUAUGAGGAGUCAAAGAAUUCUAAAACUGGCCUAAAAAAUUGGAACAAGCUGUGUUCACGAACUUCGGAGGGCAAAAAGACCUAUUUAGAAGCCGAUUUUGAGGUGUCAAAUAUUGAACGAGCUUCUGCAACUAUUUAGAUGCGGCUCGUCGCUAUCUUCAAUUUGAGUACUCACGGAGCCAAAACGGACUUCGUAUGAGGAAGAUACACCUGUUUUACUGAAUAGUGCGUAAAACAGAUUCCAAUCCGAAUUCAGGUACGAGAUUGAUUCUAGAUAGAUCCAAUUUUUUUUCUUCUCUCUUUUUUUUUCUCACGCUUUUUUUUCUUUUUCUUCUCCCUCUUUUUCUUUUUUUUUCUUUCCUUUUUUCUCUCUUUUUUUCUUUAUAUUCUUUUUCUCCCUCUUUCCAAGACAAACUAGAUAAGAUGCAGAUUCGAUCAGGCGAAGAUGUGAGUGACCUCAACUAUUAUUAUGACAAUGAAUGGUGGGUAGCACGUGGUGGAAAUUGAUGGAUGGGUGGUGGACAGCGGAAGAGAUAAUGAUGCAGCGGUGGCGUGACUAAUGUGAACAGAACUCGAAACUCUAAAUGAACUAGACACUAAGACCAGCAACUCAACACGACGAUGCAAUCGAUAAUUCAAUUAUGCAAUCAAUGAAAAGAAAAUUGCAAAGGCUCAGACUGGCUUGGACCAAGGAUGAAUAGAUCUAACUCUUUUUUGUGGCUUUUUCUUGGACAAUAGGUAAGAAAGUAAAUCUAAUCUAGGAAAACUGGAAAUUCUCACCGAGCAACCUGAAAACUAAUACCACUUGAUAGAGGCGGGGGUCCCGAUCUUUCGAUGCGAUGAUAACUAUCGAUUUGGUGAAGAUGACUUUGACGAUCCGACUACAAACG